Molecule: ribosomal RNA, 497 nt
Filed under: uncultured bacterium
Lineage: Bacteria
Description: partial 16S ribosomal RNA
Rfam family: Bacterial small subunit ribosomal RNA
Source: RNAcentral
GACGAACGCUGGCGGCGUGCCUAAUACAUGCAAGUUGAGCGCUGAAGGUUGGUACUUGUACCGACUGGAUGAGCAGCGAACGGGUGAGUAACGCGUGGGGAAUCUGCCUUUGAGCGGGGGACAACAUUUGGAAACGAAUGCUAAUACCGCAUAAAAACUUUGAACACAAGUUUUAAGUUUGAAAGAUGCAAUUGCAUCACUCAAAGAUGAUCCCGCGUUGUAUUAGCUAGUUGGUGAGGUAAAGGCUCACCAAGGCGAUGAUACAUAGCCGACCUGAGAGGGUGAUCGGCCACAUUGGGACUGAGACACGGCCCAAACUCCUACGGGAGGCAGCAGUAGGGAAUCUUCGGCAAUGGACGAAAGUCUGACCGAGCAACGCCGCGUGAGUGAAGAAGGUUUUCGGAUCGUAAAACUCUGUUGGUAGAGAAGAACGUUGGUGAGAGUGGAAAGCUCAUCAAGUGACGGUAACUACCCAGAAAGGGACGGCUAACUACGUG